UAUUAGGUUGGUGCAAAAGUAAUUGCAGGUUUUGCCUUUACUUUUAAUGGCAAAAACUGCAAUUACUUUUGCACCAACCUAAUAU
Cercocebus atys (sooty mangabey) is the source of this 85-nucleotide microRNA precursor. The record is from Ensembl. Lineage: Eukaryota; Metazoa; Chordata; Mammalia; Primates; Cercopithecidae.